UCAGGAUGAACGCUGGCGGCGUGCCUAACACAUGCAAGUCGAACGAAGCACUUCUGGUUGAGAUUCGUCAAGAAUUGGAUUGACUUAGUGGCGGACGGGUGAGUAAUGUAUGAGCAACCUGCCUUUCAGAGGGGGACAACAGUUGGAAACGACUGCUAAUACCGCAUAACGUAUUUUAGGGGCAUCCCUGGGAUACCAAAGGAGCAAUCCGCUGAAAGAUGGGCUCAUAUCUGAUUAGUUAGUUGGCAGGGUAACGGCCUACCAAGACUGCGAUCAGUAGCCGGACUGAGAGGUUGAACGGCCACAUUGGGACUGAGAUACGGCCCAGACUCCUACGGGAGGCAGCAGUGGGGAAUAUUGGGCAAUGGGCGAAAGCCUGACCCAAGCAACGCCGCGUGAAGGAAGAAGGUCUUCGGAUUGUAAACUUCUUUUAUGAGGGACGAAGGACGUGACGGUACCUCAUGAAUAAGCCACGGCUAACUACGUGCCAGCAGCAGC
This 498-nucleotide ribosomal RNA is filed under the name uncultured bacterium. Its description in RNAcentral is "bacterial SSU rRNA". It matches the Rfam family "Bacterial small subunit ribosomal RNA", at positions 24 to 518 of the family's 1533-position model. The record is from RNAcentral.